Molecule: long non-coding RNA, 271 nt
Organism: Eutrema salsugineum
Lineage: Eukaryota; Viridiplantae; Streptophyta; Magnoliopsida; Brassicales; Brassicaceae
Exons: 3
Source: RefSeq, a predicted model, not a curated record
AUCUUCUCGGCUAGAUGAGCGUUUUGAGUGUGGUAAACGAUUGAAGACACGCAUAGGCCAUGAGAAGGAGUCAGACUUGGAUAAGAUGCGGAGACUAGACGAAAAGGUCCAAAACGCUAUCAACAGCGUAAAAAGGGCAAUUAGCCUAGGGAAUUGUAUAUCUUUAUCCGCAAGGGAGUUAGCGGAUUUGCUUGAAAGGAAGAAAAGCCCACCAGCUAAGGUUAUGGAUGCUGUACUAAAAUUUUCACGGCACAUGCUGCGUAAGGAUGUU